GAUGAACGCUGGCGGCGUGCCUAAUACAUGCAAGUCGAGCGAACAGACGAGGAGCUUGCUCCUCUGACGUUAGCGGCGGACGGGUGAGUAACACGUGGAUAACCUCCCUAUAAGACUGGGAUAACUUCGGGAAACCGGAGCUAAUACCGGAUAACAUGUUGAACCGCAUGGUUCAACAGUGAAAGACGGUCUUGCUGUCACUUAUAGCUGGAUCCGCGCCGCAUUAGCUAGUUGGUAAGGUAACGGCUUACCAAGGCAACGAUGCGUAGCCGACCUGAGAGGGUGAUCGGCCACACUGGAACUGAGACACGGUCCAGACUCCUACGGGAGGCAGCAGUAGGGAAUCUUCCGCAAUGGGCGAAAGCCUGACGGAGCAACGCCGCGUGAGUGAAGAAGGUCUUCGGAUCGUAAAACUCUGUUAUUAGGGAAGAACAAAUGUGUAAGUAACUAUGCACGUCUUGACGGUACCUAAUCAGAAAGCCACGGCUAACUACGUG
Molecule: ribosomal RNA, 497 nt
Filed under: uncultured bacterium
Lineage: Bacteria
Description: partial 16S ribosomal RNA
Rfam family: Bacterial small subunit ribosomal RNA
Source: RNAcentral